This 428-nucleotide long non-coding RNA is filed under the name Phoenix dactylifera (date palm). RNAcentral's name for it is "long non-coding RNA (PDAC_LNC018766)". The record is from RNAcentral. Lineage: Eukaryota; Viridiplantae; Streptophyta; Magnoliopsida; Arecales; Arecaceae.
UUCAUAAUAAUAUUUAUUUUGAUACUUUCUGAAUAUAUCAAAUAAAUAGAGUGUGCAGCAAUAACGAUAAUUAUAAUUCAUCACUACUGUCAUGACAAGUCAUAAUGGUUUUGGGCAUUAGCCAUUAUUUGUGCACAACUUGUAAGAUUGGAACCACAAUAAAUAGAGUCAAAUAACAUCAUGAUUGCUCCUGGCCAAAAAUGGUUUUAUCUCCCCAAUGAUGCAAUUGGCCCCAUGGGAUUGUUUGGUACUGUAUGUGUUCAUAAUUCAUGAAUUCAUGCAGCCUUCAAAAUUACCCCUGAACAGGUUGAGACUGCUAUCCGUUUUUGAGGCAAACCUGCCAUAUUCUGAAAUUGAAUCAGCUUCUGGACAUCUUAUGACAAAAGACGGAUCCAACUGCCAGUAUAUCCACUUGAUCUGAUUUUAUC